This 796-nucleotide ribosomal RNA is filed under the name Calothrix geitonos SULS-U1. Its description in RNAcentral is "bacterial SSU rRNA". It matches the Rfam family "Bacterial small subunit ribosomal RNA", at positions 85 to 913 of the family's 1533-position model. Lineage: Bacteria; Bacillati; Cyanobacteriota; Cyanophyceae; Nostocales; Calotrichaceae. The record is from RNAcentral.
UUCGGAGUUAGUGGCGGACGGGUGAGUAACGCGUGAGAAUCUAGCUCUAGGUCGGGGACAACAGUUGGAAACGACUGCUAAUACCGGAUGUGCCGAAAGGUGAAAGAUUAAUUGCCUAGAGAUGAGCUCGCGUCUGAUUAGCUAGUUGGUGGGGUAAGAGCCUACCAAGGCGACGAUCAGUAGCUGGUCUGAGAGGAUGAUCAGCCACACUGGGACUGAGACACGGCCCAGACUCCUACGGGAGGCAGCAGUGGGGAAUUUUCCGCAAUGGGCGAAAGCCUGACGGAGCAAUACCGCGUGAGGGAGGAAGGCUCUUGGGUCGUAAACCUCUUUUCUCAGGGAAGAAGAAAGUGACGGUACCUGAGGAAUCAGCAUCGGCUAACUCCGUGCCAGCAGCCGCGGUAAUACGGAGGAUGCAAGCGUUAUCCGGAAUGAUUGGGCGUAAAGCGUCCGCAGGUGGCUGUGUAAGUCUGCUGUUAAAGAAUGAGGCUCAACCUCAUCAAAGCAGUGGAAACUACACGGCUAGAGUGCGUUCGGGGCAGAGGGAAUUCCUGGUGUAGCGGUGAAAUGCGUAGAGAUCAGGAAGAACACCGGUGGCGAAAGCGCUCUGCUAGGCCGCAACUGACACUGAGGGACGAAAGCUAGGGGAGCGAAUGGGAUUAGAUACCCCAGUAGUCCUAGCCGUAAACGAUGGAUACUAGGCGUGGCUUGUAUCGACCCGAGCCGUGCCGGAGCUAACGCGUUAAGUAUCCCGCCUGGGGAGUACGCACGCAAGUGUGAAACUCAAAGGAAUUGA